CAGCUCCAAUAGCGUAUAUUAAAGUUGUUGCAGUUAAAAAGCUCGUAGUUGAACCUUGGGUCUGGCUGGCCGGUCCGCCUCACCGCGUGUACUGGUCCGGCCGGACCUUUCCUCCUGGGGAGCCGCAUGCCCUUCACUGGGCGUGUCGGGGAACCAGGACUUUUACUUUGAAAAAAUUAGAGUGUUCAAAGCAGGCCUUUGCUCGAAUACAUUAGCAUGGAAUAAUAGAAUAGGACGUGCGGUUCUAUUUUGUUGGUUUCUAGGACCGCCGUAAUGAUUAAUAGGGAUAGUCGGGGGCAUCCGUAUUCAAUUGUCAGAGGUGAAAUUCUUGGAUUUAUUGAAGACGAACUACUGCGAAAGCAUUUGCCAAGGAUGUUUUCAUUAAUCAGUGAACGAAAGUUAGGGGAUCGAAGACGAUCAGAUACCGUCGUAGUCUUAACCAUAAACUAUGCCGACUUGGGAUCGGUGGGCGUUACUAUUUUGACUCCAUCGGCACCGUACGAGAAAUCAAAGUUUUUGGGUUCUGGGGGGAGUAUGGUCGCAAAGCUGAAACUUAGAGAAUUUGACGGAAAGGGCACCACCAGGCGUGGAGCCUGC
Molecule: ribosomal RNA, 597 nt
Filed under: uncultured bacterium
Lineage: Bacteria
Description: SSU rRNA
Rfam family: Eukaryotic small subunit ribosomal RNA
Source: RNAcentral